GACGAACGCUGGCGGCGUGCUUAACACAUGCAAGUCGAACGGAAAGGCCCUGCUUUUGUGGGGUGCUCGAGUGGCGAACGGGUGCGUAACACGUGAGUAACCUGCCCUUGACUUUGGGAUAACUUCAGGAAACUGGGGCUAAUAUCGGAUAGGAGCCCCUGCUGCAUGGUGGGGGUUGGAACGUUUCGGCGGGCGGGGAUGGAUUCGCGGCUUAUCAGCUUGUUGGUGGGGUAGUGGCUUACCAAGGCUGUGACUGGUAGCCGGCCUGAGAGGGUGACCGGCCACAUUGGGACUGAGAUACGGCCCAGACUCCUACGGUAGGCAGCAGUGGGGAAUAUUGCACAAUCGGCGGAAGCCUGAUGCAGCAACGCCGCGUGCGGGAUGACGGCCUUCGGGCUGUAAACCGCUUUCGCCUGUGACGAAGCGUGAGUGACGGUAAUGGGUAAAGAAGCACCGGCUAACUACGUG
RNAcentral lists this ribosomal RNA (468 nucleotides) under uncultured bacterium. RNAcentral describes it as "partial 16S ribosomal RNA". It matches the Rfam family "Bacterial small subunit ribosomal RNA", at positions 28 to 507 of the family's 1533-position model. The record is from RNAcentral.